RNAcentral lists this ribosomal RNA (253 nucleotides) under uncultured bacterium. RNAcentral's name for it is "partial 16S ribosomal RNA". It matches the Rfam family "Bacterial small subunit ribosomal RNA", at positions 524 to 776 of the family's 1533-position model. The record is from RNAcentral.
UACGCCGGGGGCUAGCGUUGCUCGGACUCACUGGGCGUAAAGCGCACGUAGGCGGAUUGUUAAGUCAGGGGGGAAAUCCUGGAGCUCAACUCCAGAACUGCCUUUGAUACUGGCGAUCUCGAGUCCGGGAGAGGUGAGUGGAACUGCGAGUGUAGAGGUGAAAUUCGUAGAUAUUCGCAAGAACACCAGUGGCGAAGGCGGCUCACUGGCCCGGUACUGACGCUGAGGUGCGAAAGCGUGGGGAGCAAACAGG